Molecule: RNA transcript, 4801 nt
Organism: Patella vulgata (common limpet)
Lineage: Eukaryota; Metazoa; Mollusca; Gastropoda; Patellidae
Exons: 4
Source: RefSeq, a predicted model, not a curated record
GGAAAAAAAUUUCGGCAUGUUAUUAUCAAAUCUGUUCAAUUUUUCUGAAAUCAUGCUUAAUUAACAUUAGUUGUUCGGCGCUACGAUGUUGUUCAAAUACUUACAUUACAGAAUCACAUUAUGAUUAAAGCAGAAACGGUUCGACUUGAACCAGCAGGUAAGAAUCUGUUUUGAAAUUAUAUCUUGGGAGGUUGGAUUGGCGUUGGAGACCCGAUUGGCGGCCAUUUUGAUUCUUGUUUCAUGAUUUUUUUUAUAUUAUAACGAUUUUGCCAAGAGUAGACAUAAACGCGGGCACAGACUAGAAAAAAAUCUUUUUACACUUUUGUGUUAGUUGAAUUGUAAUCUAAUUUAUGUUUAAAAAAACAACCUUAAAUCUAAUAAGCAGACGGAAGAUAUGGACGAACAACAAGAACAAGUUAUGGAGGUCCCAACAACUGAACUUAUGGAAGUAGAAGAAUCGUUUACAGCCGAAACCCGAUACGAUGUGCCAGUUCCGGUUAUGGAGUCCUCCAUCUCAGACGAUGCCGACGUUAGUGUCUUCUGCGACGAAGAACCCGUAGUGGUGUAUCACUAUAAACCUCAGAAUGCCUCGUUCGGCAUUUCUGUCCAAACGAGGCAAAAACGUGUCAAAAUUUUUGCCCCGAUUUUGCCUCGUUGUAACGAGGUAAAAAAAAUACCUCGUUUCUCUGGAGUUCCAAAACGUGUUUUUUUUUAAAUUGCCCUGUUUUUGGAACGAGGUAUUUUGUUCAGAACGAGGCUGGGUAAAAUGGCCUCGUUUACUAAACGAGGUAUUUUAUCCAAGAUAAUUAUUAGCGGUAUUUGCUGUCGACAAAUAGAGCCAUACAAAUAAUGUUCGGACCAUCAUGUGACCAAUUGCAGAUCUACAAAUUAGAUUAUUUAUUUGGGACAUGAUAUUGUUCAUAGUUAUGGCUUACUACACUGGAGUUCUAUUAUGUAUAAUAAACGCUUCCCGAGCGAAACAAAACAUAACAAUGUCACGUGACAAUAUUACAUAUGGCGGAUACAAGCGUUCUUUGAUUACAUGCUGUUUGGUUUGAUUAUUAAAUAAUACGGCAAUCUGUAUAUAUGGGAAAAGGAGAAUGAAUUUCCCCAAAUCCAAAACUAGAUGACUGGAAUAUUUAUUGAAUGGAAAGUAAAUAUUUUAUAAACAAAAAUAUUCGGAUUUGCAGUAUCCUAGCUUGGAUGGAUUUGUGAUUUGAAUCUCGAACUCAGUGUUUUAUACAUUUUAUUAUAAAAUUGUAAUAAAUGUUUUACAUGAAUGAACAAAAUCUACAAUUUAAAACAGUACAAUAACAUUGUGAUUUGACGCUCUACAAAUCACUAAGAGUAUAACAAUUGCUUGUUGAAAAAGCGUUAAUAAUAUGUUUUUUUCCAUUUAUUAUUUUUUAAAAAUAUAUUCAAAAAGAAUGCGUCUUUUACAGAUUUCAAUAUAACCACAAAUGGUUGAUUGUUUUAAUGCUAAGAUAAGUAUUAAUGGUUUGUAUUUGAAAAUCAAAUUAUAUAAGCGAAAAAUAGUAAGAUACAUUAUGUAUAUCUUAAAACACUCCCUUCUCAGUUACUACUUCGGCGAAUAUCGUUUGAUAAUUUAGAUGAUCAGAAUUAAACACCGUUUUGCUAUGUUAUUAUUGUUUUAUGAUUGGGUGGGGGUAUACUUAAUUAGGGGAUUGGAUUGAAAGAUUAUAGCUACCAUCUUAUGGGGACAUAAUGUGUGGUGCAUUUACGGUCUUAUAAAGCUCUAUUCUUACAUAAAGAAUUCUUGAUUCGCACGGAAGUGUUUUAGCCGUGAUCAUUUUAAGUCAUGCUUAUGCCAAGAUCUGGUCCAUCUCUGAGACAACAAAAACGUAAAUAAAUGGAAGAUAAAAGCAAGAAAGACAACCCUAAUAAAGGAGUCAGGACUAAGACUAGUAAUUAUUUCCCCUUAUUUCAUGAUUGUCGAAUGUAGUGCGAGUUAUAAAUAGACAAUUUUUCCCUUAAUUUUUUUCUCCCCUCUUCCUGCAUUUUUGGGUUGACUUUUUGGUCUAGAAUUGGAGAAAAGGGAUCAAAUUUGCAAUUUCAUAGCAGUUUUGGGUAAUACUGAUGAUAUUACAGCGGAGGGAUAGGGGGUGUAAAGUGUCUUUCUGCAGAGCAAUCAUUGUGUCGGAAGUGAGAUUUUCACCCCUGUCAACUUCAAAUCCGUGUAGCAAAAAAUCUAAACGGUCAACCCCCUACAAAAUUAUGAUGAGGAGAUUGCCAAAUGUUGUCCCCAUUGUGCCUAUAAAGAUUGGAACCAACGGAAUGUUGAGCAAAAAGCUACAGCCUGUGAUGUUACAGUCAUUUAACAUUGAAGUCAAUGGGCAAAUAAUUGCUAGUCUGACUCCUGAUGAUAAAGAAGCAUGGCCGACUCGGGGUGUUGAUAUUUUUUCAACGGCUUAUUUCCUGAAGUUUUGAAUGGAAAGUGUCAGAAAUGGUGCCAGGGCAAUGUUUUAUAGAGUGGAAUGAUUGACCUCAACACAAGUAUUAAAAAAAAAAGAAGCAAAACAGGUCUACAUCUCAAAACCUGAUCUCUUCCUCUACUGGCUUUAGGAGAACGAUGAUGCAUAUCAAUUUCAUCCCUGAUCUCUAUGACACCUGUGGUGGAAGAGGAGGGCAAAUCGUAAUCAGUUUGGGUUCCAGGCCCGAGGACCUCUGUAAACUUUGCUUUUUGGUGAUGACUUAAUUUCCGAGCUUGAAAAGGACGCUUGUGUUUUUAUCAUGGCCUCUCAUAUUGGAAGAUAACAUUAAUGGCUUGUGUGUUGAUCGACGGUUGUGCAUAUCUCUUGGUCAGGAAAGUUGUAGGCACCAUCGCCAUUGUAAAUCAUUUGACAGGCCCGUGUGAACGGGGCGACCUAUGAUUGGUCAGCAAUGUAUCAGAUUCCAUACCGGGGGGUGGGGAUGAAAAAACUGUUGUAGUGUUACAUAAUCAGAUUAUUUCAACUUACUUAUCCUGUGGAAAUACAGCUAUAUGGGAGAUAUUUUUAAAUUAAUAGGCCCUGCAUGUUUCAACAUUUUAGAUUUGACCACAAUCUGGCACUUGAAACUAUGUUAACAGAGAAAAACUGUGUGGUUUUCGAUGAAAGUGUUAAAAGUCUAAUAUUGCAUCAUGAUUACUGUUUUAAAGUAUUUUCGUGUUUGAUUUAUAUUGAAUUCAUCUCAUCUUUUUGAAGAAUGCAUUUAUGUUCAAAAAUAAAAAUGUUCUGUGGAAUUCAAAAUUCAUGUGCUUUUAAAUUAUCAGAUUCCAAACUGGGGGAUAGGGAUGAAAAAGCUGUUGUAGUGUUACAUAAUCAGAUUAUUUCAACUUACUUAUCCUAUGGAAAUACAGCUAUAUAGGAGAUAUUUUAAAAUUGAUAGGCACUGCAUGUUUCAACAUUUUAGAUUUGACCACAAUUUGGCACUUGAAACUACGUUAACAGAGAAAAACUGUGUGGUUUUCGAUGAAAGUGUUAAAAAGUCUAAUAUUGCAUCAUGAUUACUGUUUUAAAGUAUUUUCGUGUUUGAUUUAUAUUGAAUUGUAUUUAGAAAACGAAGGAAACCGAAUGACCCAGCGAAAAAACUCAAGAGAUUGGACAGGCGACUCUACUCCUUGAAAUUGAAACCAUGCCACUUAACACAAUGACAGACCCUGUGAUUUCAUGCGCAUGCAUUACCUACUAGACCAUUCCCCCCAGUCCCACCCCAUAUCGAAUAAAAGUAUGACUUAUUUCAAAUAUGAUAUUUACAUAUAAAGAAAGUAGAGAGACUUCAAUCUUACUAGAAAAAUACUAGAUUACCUGAAAUGAAAUGGGGUUUAAAGACAACGUCCUACUGGUCAGCUCCGACUGGUCUAAUGCAUUGUGCUAAGUGAAAAUGUUUGUCUGGGCAUCGACACUAUGGCCUACUCUCAUACCGAAUUCAAAUUUAGUUAGUGUUAGUUGUAUUUUACGUCCGCUUCCACCGAGGUGAUAUCGCAGACAAUGACGUGUUAUGUGUACAAGGUGCAUUAAUUUACAAUGUGAUUAGUGAGAAAUAUUAGGAUGGUUAGGUUUUCAUAUAUAUGUACAUAGGACAAUAAACAACAGUAGGAUAACAUGUGCAAAGGACGAAACAGGUGCCAGUAGACAUUUACAAACAUGCGAUUUGACGGAACAGACAUGGACAAAGACGGACAUUUUCACAGACAUAGACAUAUUAUGUACAUAUAUAUAUAUUUUGGGUCGAUUGGGUUGGUCUGGUCGUUCUGUCCGGUAGAAUGGCAGGGCGGUGCAACUCUACCUUGGGGCUUUGUUGGUGAGUUUGAGUCCUGGUCCAUUCUUCCUUCCAUUUGGGUAUGUUGUCCGGUAUGGUAGCGUUUUUACAUCUUUAUUUAUGUUAUUCAUUCCUUUUAUUGUUGGUUCUCUGAAGGAAGAAUCCAGCACCUGAAAAAGAAAGCUAGAGAAAAGAGAGUAUCUGAUCUUACUGUGAUUUUUUGGUUAUGUGUACGCCAAUGUGUACAUUGGAUCUCAGGGGAAACCACUCUGCAAAAUCAAGAUGAGCUUUCUCGGUCAACCCCAAGAGAUAACCUGUGGCCUCCAUGCUAGUGUGCCAGCACCUAAUUUACUCAGUCACCAUGGCCGUCUUCUAAUUACUGUGACAGUGAAACCAUGUGACAAACAAGGAUUAUUAAGAUAGACUUUUACGGCUUGGUAGUUCCUUGGGAUUAAAACUUUUGAUACAUAUAGAUACAUUAGUUUCAAUUUCAUAUCACACAGUUUGUAUAUAUGGUAAGGUAGCUUUAAUCGUAAAUUAC